Non-coding RNA from Punica granatum (pomegranate), 807 nucleotides. NCBI's taxonomy places the organism in Eukaryota, Viridiplantae, Streptophyta, Magnoliopsida, Myrtales, Lythraceae. The record is from RefSeq and is a predicted model, not a curated record.
UUUGCAAAAGCCUUAAACGGACCUCCCUCGACAUCUACAGCUUCGGGUACCUUCCAACGGAGCUUUAGCUCUGUUUUUCCCUCAUCUCAAUAGCAAGCACAAUAGAGAGAGGGUAAGCUUCAGAUGCAAAAACCACAAAGAAGACGAAUUGCUAAGUGUACUGUAAGGAUUGCCGAUACGCAAGCCCGAUUUCGUGGAAGACCAAGAAGUAGACCAUGGUAUAUAGAUCUUCUGUUGAAGUGGAGUAUCAGGUGAUGACUGCUACAAUAAGUUAGUUACUAUGGUUACAUACUCUUCUUGCAUCUUUUGGAGUUACUCAUCAAGCAUCUAUGAAGCUAUUUUGCAAUAAUCAAGCUGCUCUUCAUAUUACUUCUAAUUUUGUAUUCCAUGAGUGAGCUAAGGACAUAGAGAUUGGUUGUUAUUUUAUUCGUCCACACAUUUGAUCUCAAGCUAUUGAUGUUGCCCAUGUUUCAAACGUCAGCAACAUGUGAACAUUUUCACUUGGACGAGAUCGUUUUCGUUUUCUUCUUCAGCAAGUUGGAAACUCAAGAUCCUUAUUCUCCAGCUUGAGGGGAAUAUUGCGUGUAGAUAAUUAUAGGAGAUAUUAUAUAUUGAGUGUAUCAUAUUAGUUAGGAUUGAAAUUUCUGUUAGGAUACAUUUUCAUUAUUUUACUUUUUCAUUAAUUUGAGAGUUUUACUCUUAGGAUAGAUUUUCAUAAUUUCUCUUACAUUAAUUUGAGAGUUCUAUACAUAUUUCGAUGUACACCAUUCUUGAUGAAAUUGAGCUAUUCUAGUCAGUUCCUACUUU